This 498-nucleotide ribosomal RNA is filed under the name Rhodococcus sp. IR50. RNAcentral describes it as "bacterial SSU rRNA". It matches the Rfam family "Bacterial small subunit ribosomal RNA", at positions 1 to 520 of the family's 1533-position model. RNAcentral also lists the same sequence under 1 other name. Lineage: Bacteria; Bacillati; Actinomycetota; Actinomycetes; Mycobacteriales; Nocardiaceae. The record is from RNAcentral.
UGGAGAGUUUGAUCCUGGCUCAGGACGAACGCUGGCGGCGUGCUUAACACAUGCAAGUCGAGCGGUAAGGCCUUUCGGGGUACACGAGCGGCGAACGGGUGAGUAACACGUGGGUGAUCUGCCCUGCACUUCGGGAUAAGCCUGGGAAACUGGGUCUAAUACCGGAUAUGACCUCCUAUCGCAUGGUGGGUGGUGGAAAGAUUUAUCGGUGCAGGAUGGGCCCGCGGCCUAUCAGCUUGUUGGUGGGGUAAUGGCCUACCAAGGCGACGACGGGUAGCCGACCUGAGAGGGUGACCGGCCACACUGGGACUGAGACACGGCCCAGACUCCUACGGGAGGCAGCAGUGGGGAAUAUUGCACAAUGGGCGAAAGCCUGAUGCAGCGACGCCGCGUGAGGGAUGACGGCCUUCGGGUUGUAAACCUCUUUCAGCAGGGACGAAGCGCAAGUGACGGUACCUGCAGAAGAAGCACCGGCUAACUACGUGCCAGCAGCCGCGG